AGUCACUGACAUUAGAUACCCCGGUAGUCCCAGCCGUAAACAAUGUGCGUUAGGUGUGUCGGUAACCACGUGUUACUGAUGCGCCGAAGAGAAAUCGUGAAACGCACCACCUGGGAAGUACGGUCGCAAGGCUGAAACUUAAAGGAAUUGGCGGGGAGCACCACAACAGGUGGAGCCUGCGGUUUAAUUGGACUCAACGCCGGGAAGCUCACCGGAUAGGACAGCAGAAUGAUUGCCGGGCUGAAGACCCUGCAUGACUAGCUG
RNAcentral lists this ribosomal RNA (264 nucleotides) under uncultured archaeon. RNAcentral describes it as "partial 16S ribosomal RNA". It matches the Rfam family "Archaeal small subunit ribosomal RNA", at positions 718 to 982 of the family's 1478-position model. The record is from RNAcentral.